UGGCAAACGGCUGAGUAACGCGUAGGAACCUACCCCAAACUCGAGUAUAGCCCCGCGAAAGCGGGGGUAAUCCUCGAUAGUCCGUGAAGCAUCUUGCUUUACGGUAAAGCUUUUGCGGUUUGGGAUGGGCCUGCGUCCUAUCAGGUAGUUGGUGAGGUAAAUGCUCACCAAGCCUAUGACGGGUAGCUGGUCUGAGAGGAUGAUCAGCCAGACUGGGACUGCGACACGGCCCAGACUCCUACGGGAGGCAGCAACUAGGAAUUGUGCGCAAUGGACGAAAGUCUGACGCCGCGACAUCGCGUGGAGGAUGAAGGUCUUCGGAUUGUAAACUCCUUUUCUUACCGAACAAGUUCUGAGUGUAGGUAAGGAAUAAGUGCCUGCUAACCACGUGCCAGAAGCAUCGGUAAUACGUGGGGCACGAGCGUUAUCCGGAUUUACUGGGCGUAAAGAGAAGCGUAGGCGGCUCGAUAAGUUUGGUGUUAAAUCUUCCGGCUCAACCGGAAACAAGCAUCGAAAACUAUCGAGAUUGAGUCGAGUAGGGAAGAGGGGAAUUCCUGGUGGAGCGGUUAAAUGCGUAGAUAUCAGGAGGAAUACCAA
This 597-nucleotide ribosomal RNA is filed under the name uncultured bacterium. RNAcentral's name for it is "bacterial SSU rRNA". It matches the Rfam family "Bacterial small subunit ribosomal RNA", at positions 96 to 712 of the family's 1533-position model. The record is from RNAcentral.